Molecule: small nuclear RNA, 311 nt
Filed under: Pogona vitticeps (central bearded dragon)
Lineage: Eukaryota; Metazoa; Chordata; Lepidosauria; Squamata; Agamidae
Description: 7SK RNA (ENSPVIG00000015549.1)
Rfam family: 7SK RNA
About the family: 7SK was discovered as an abundant small nuclear RNA in the mid-70s but a possible function has only recently been suggested. Two independent studies have found that 7SK RNA binds the CDK9/cyclin T complex (known as elongation factor P-TEFb). P-TEFb activates transcription by phosphorylating the C-terminal domain of RNA polymerase II.
Source: Rfam by way of RNAcentral
GGAUGUGAGGGUGAUCUGGCUGCGACAUCUGUCACCACAUUGAUCGCCAGGGUUGAUUCGGCCAAUCUGGCUGGCUAGACGGGUGUCCCCUUCCUCCCUCACCGCUCCAUGUGUGUCCCUCCCGAAGCUGGAUGCUCGGUGGAAGAGGACAACCAUCCCAGAUAGAAGGAGUGUACCAUUCUUCGGUCAAGGGUAUACGACUCACAAGAAAAUUUGAAUUAAAAGAUACAAGUCAAAAUAUCAAACAAUUUCAAAUAUUAAAUUGCAUGUGAAUUAAAAGACAGUAUUUUAAACACAGCAAUUAAGAAAAU